UCUCUUGUGCUCGGGCAUGUACUGUCGCCAGUGAGGUCCUUACCGAGGCACAGUCUUUUGCUGAUUGCAAAUUAAACAUCCGAACACGUCCUUUAGCUUCGGCUUUAGGCAAUUUUUGGAAAACCUUCCCUUUUCUGAUAUGU
Molecule: small nuclear RNA, 143 nt
Organism: Neolentinus lepideus HHB14362 ss-1
Lineage: Eukaryota; Fungi; Basidiomycota; Agaricomycetes; Gloeophyllales; Gloeophyllaceae
Rfam family: U4 spliceosomal RNA
About the family: U4 small nuclear RNA (U4 snRNA) is a component of the major U2-dependent spliceosome. The structure of U4 snRNA from yeast and human has been reported. U4 snRNA presents a k-turn RNA motif in the 5p-SL related to recognition of Snu13 protein.
Source: Rfam